RNAcentral lists this non-coding RNA (173 nucleotides) under Clostridiales bacterium. RNAcentral's name for it is "6S RNA". It matches the Rfam family "6S / SsrS RNA". Rfam says of the family: E. coli 6S RNA was the first non coding RNA to be sequenced, but its function was unknown until recently. The record is from RNAcentral. Lineage: Bacteria; Bacillati; Bacillota; Clostridia; Eubacteriales.
GGAAUCCUGAGGUGCACGAAUUCUAUUGUAUUUAACCCACAGUUAAAAUACGGGAAUCCGGGUUUGCGGAUGGAUAUCAUGCCUGACAUGGGAAGAUAAAAGUUCGCAGCAGGUCUCCCACCUGUCGUGAGGCGGGUAUUAAAUUCAUAGAAGACCGACAUCUUGGGAAAAUA